CGCCUGUUUUAUCAAAAACAUCGCCUCUUGAACUUUAAUAAGAGGUCCAGCCUGCCCAGUGACCUAAUUAAACGGCCGCGGUAUCCUAACCGUGCGAAGGUAGCGUAAUCACUUGUUCUUUAAUUGAGGACUAGUAUGAAUGGCACCACGAGAGUUGUACUGUCUCCCUUUUUUAAUCAGUGAAACUAAUCCUCCCGUGAAGAAGCGGGAAUUUAUUUAUUAGACGAGAAGACCCUAUGGAGCUUUAAACUGACCACCACCUACUGCCUAUAAACCCUCACAUAAAGCAAAGUAGGAUGUUAACAUGUUUUCGAUUGGGGUGAUCACGGAGCAAAAAAUAACCUCCACGAUAAACAGGCCUAAACCCUGAGCUACAAGCCACAACUUUCAGCACUAUAAAAUUAAUAUUUCUUGACCCAAUAAUUUGAUCAACGAACCAAGUUACCCUAGGGAUAACAGCGCAAUCUACUUCAAGAGCCCCUAUCGACAAGUAGGUUUACGACCUCGAUGUUGGAUUAGGGUGUCCCAGUGGUGCAGCCGCUACUAAGGGUUCGUUUGUUCAACGAUUAAAACCCUACGUGAUCUGAGU
RNAcentral lists this ribosomal RNA (589 nucleotides) under Aplastodiscus arildae (Teresopolis treefrog). RNAcentral's name for it is "partial 16S ribosomal RNA". It matches the Rfam family "Bacterial large subunit ribosomal RNA", at positions 1797 to 2610 of the family's 2925-position model. The record is from RNAcentral. Lineage: Eukaryota; Metazoa; Chordata; Amphibia; Anura; Hylidae.